Selaginella moellendorffii is the source of this 88-nucleotide ribosomal RNA. The record is from Rfam. Lineage: Eukaryota; Viridiplantae; Streptophyta; Lycopodiopsida; Selaginellales; Selaginellaceae.
GGGUCUUGGGAUACUUUGAGUUAAGCGUCCUUGGGUUUGAAUAGUACUGGGUUGGGUGACCUCCUGGGAAGUCCAAAUCCAGGAGCUU